UGCAGUCGAGCGGAACGAGUUAACUGAACCUUCGGGGAACGUUAACGGCGUCGAGCGGCGGACGGGUGAGUAAUGCCUGGGAAAUUGCCCUGAUGUGGGGGAUAACCAUUGGAAACGAUGGCUAAUACCGCAUAAUAGCUUCGGCUCAAAGAGGGGGACCUUCGGGCCUCUCGCGUCAGGAUAUGCCCAGGUGGGAUUAGCUAGUUGGUGAGGUAAUGGCUCACCAAGGCGACGAUCCCUAGCUGGUCUGAGAGGAUGAUCAGCCACACUGGAACUGAGACACGGUCCAGACUCCUACGGGAGGCAGCAGUGGGGAAUAUUGCACAAUGGGCGCAAGCCUGAUGCAGCCAUGCCGCGUGUAUGAAGAAGGCCUUCGGGUUGUAAAGUACUUUCAGCAGUGAGGAAGGCAGGUACGUUAAUAGCGUGCUUGUUUGACGUUAGCUGCAGAAGAAGCACCGGCUAACUCCGUGCCAGCAGCCGCGGUAAUACGGAGGGUGCGAGCGUUAAUCGGAAUUACUG
This 519-nucleotide ribosomal RNA is filed under the name uncultured Vibrio sp. Its description in RNAcentral is "bacterial SSU rRNA". It matches the Rfam family "Bacterial small subunit ribosomal RNA", at positions 56 to 556 of the family's 1533-position model. Lineage: Bacteria; Pseudomonadati; Pseudomonadota; Gammaproteobacteria; Vibrionales; Vibrionaceae. The record is from RNAcentral.